CCAUGCCCUAAUUACAAUAACUUUAACAGAGCCAUGUAUAAAUUUGAAUUUGCCAAACCGCUUUCAUCACUGAGACAAGUUCAGUGUUCUUUAGUAGCUAUAAUUCAACAAGUUUUCACCUAAAUGGAUAGCUGGUAAAAACUAUUAUAAACAGCCCAUCUGACCUUGAGAAUUCCUAAAAGCAAGUAAGUUUGAGAUUUACUAUUUGAAGCGCAGCUUAAAGUCCACAGCACAACACACACAAUUUGUCAUGUUUACUGGACAGAGAUAUAGCACAUUGCAUUAUGGGAAAAAAAGCCUCCAGAUAACUGGCCAUGUACCGCUUUCCAGUGUGUUGUGGGUUUCCUCUGAGUGAAAUACAAUAUUAAAAUGCAUAUGUAUUUCUCGGUAUGCUAAAUGAAAGCAUAAUCCAAGUGAAAACCACAAGAGCUGAAAAACGAAGGUGCCAUUAACUGUAGUUUAAAUUAUGUUACAUUAUUUUAGCAGACACCUUUAUUCAAAUUAACCUAUAAGUGAUAAACACAUUGAGAAGCAAUGUAGAAUUCAGUAUUUAGCUCAAAGUUACUUCAAUAUGUAGACCGGGGAAGUUUGGGAUCAAAUCAGCAACCUUUCAUCUGAAGGAUCUCUAUAAGUUAGAAAUUGCAGCAACAGUUGCUCACCUGCUGAGAUGCUUAAGCCCCUUUUCCACUAAUACCUACUCAACUCAACUUGAUUUGACUUUACUCAGUUUCCUUUACAAAUGACUACCACCUUAGUAUAGGUGGGGUCAAUAUAGCAAGGGGGCCUGAGAGUUUCUUGACGUCAUUUGUAUGCAACACAAACUCAACACAGUAAUGAAGGGCAUCGAGGUGAUUGUAAACCUGCUGCUAGGUCUAUAAUUUUUUUGUCAGGCACAAGGUAAAAGAAGAGUCAGAGAAGGCAGUAGGCGGUGAGAUGAAACAUUCUAGAAAAGUACAGGAAAUUUCAUCAGGGUUCUUGUGAAGGAGCUGCUCAUGACUCAUCCAGACGCCAUAUUUUCAGCUCGACUCAGCUCACUUGGAACCCUG
Long non-coding RNA from Melanotaenia boesemani (Boeseman's rainbowfish), 1046 nucleotides. RefSeq lists it as uncharacterized. The record is from RefSeq and is a predicted model, not a curated record. The transcript is spliced from 2 exons. NCBI's taxonomy places the organism in Eukaryota, Metazoa, Chordata, Actinopteri, Atheriniformes, Melanotaeniidae.